UACAGGGGGGGCAAGCGUUGUUCGGAAUUACUGGGCGUAAAGGGUUCGUAGGUGGCCACUUAAGUCAGACGUGAAAUCCCUCAGCUUAACUGGGGAACUGCGUCUGAUACUGAGUGGCUUGAGUGCAGGAGAGGAAUGCGGAAUUCCAGGUGUAGCGGUGAAAUGCGUAGAUAUCUGGAGGAACACCGGCGGCGAAGGCGGCAUUCUGGACUGUAACUGACACUGAGGAACGAAAGCCAGGGGAGCAAACGGG
Molecule: ribosomal RNA, 253 nt
Filed under: uncultured bacterium
Lineage: Bacteria
Description: partial 16S ribosomal RNA
Rfam family: Bacterial small subunit ribosomal RNA
Source: RNAcentral